UUGAUACGGACCUUUAUAUAUGUAUGUGGAACGCGCCGCUGUGCACGCCGUUUCGAUGGAAUGCAAUAUUAAUAGGACGCCUGAACAAUAUAUUCCUGGCUACCUGUGUGCACUCGCGUAUACCAACGCGGCGAUAUUUGCUUAGGCGCGUCCUGGUUCGGCCUGUCAUCGUCGUCUGGAUAACGAGGUGUCGCCAGUUAGACAGGCGUCGUUUCCUACCGUCUCUGUGGCGUACAUCGCCGCGCAAAUUAACCUUUUUAACGAUACCGACAAUGGAAAAUCGGUUGAUCGGUAGAUGGAGCAGAGAGUAAGGCAAACAAGAAUCGAACCGCUGGUGUUCCCGUAUUUGUUCCAGUGAUGGAUGUCUUGUUUGGUGUUUGACGCGAUGUAUCACGUCGUGCAACUGACUAAAUCCCAAUAGUUGCGCCGAGCAAGAUUAAUUGAAUCGAUAGGAACAACCGGUCUGAAUUAUUAGCUCGAGGGAGCAUUUCUACGGAGCAUGUACACGGACGUGACACAGUUCCGAAACUCGGAUGUUAGGCGUGUUAUUCGUGAAUCCGCAACUGACACCGUACAGUUUCACAGUACAUAAUCGCGGAAAUGGGAACGCCUCUCGUGGAAACAAAGAUGACAAAACGGAGAGACGAUGCCGCGAUGUGGCACGAGACAAUAAUAAGAAGUACGGGCAAAGAUAGACAAAGGAGAUCCAGGGCAAAAUCUCCCGGGAAAGAAAUAUACCAGUUGGGUAAAUAGCGGACCUCCUUUCGAAGGAUCGCGAGCGUAAGACGAAAUAUCGCGUAAUGACGGGCGGUGUAUAAAUUAGAAAUUCUAACGAAGACUGAGAGAAGGUUCGUUCGAGCUCUCGGUGAAACUGAGACUCGGCCUGAAUCUCUGUAGAGCGACGCUUUUAAAGAAGCGCGAGAGAUACGCGCUCACAAGGGAAGAAAUAGCCAUCGCGUGGUACUUCACCUGGAAACGUUCGUCCGAAGAUUAUAUCAGCUUCAUCGUGCGAUUCAACGGCGCCGUAUUUUCCACGUAGCAUAAUGCUCCACGGCUUUAAUAUUUCGCAGACAACUACCAACCAUUUCGGACUCACGGCUAGAGUCACAGCGUAUCCGCCUCUGGGAAGAUUGUCUCUGUAAUUUAUUCAUCAAAAGUAAUAAACCUUAUACCGCGACCUUU
RNAcentral lists this unclassified non-coding RNA (1182 nucleotides) under Bombus terrestris (buff-tailed bumblebee). Its description in RNAcentral is "misc RNA ENSBTSG00005020397.1". The record is from RNAcentral. Lineage: Eukaryota; Metazoa; Arthropoda; Insecta; Hymenoptera; Apidae.